UGCUAGAAAGGAAAGGAAUAAGGAGGAGACAAAAUGACGCCGAGGCCCUGAACUGUUCAUGGCAUCCGCGGCUCAGCCAAGCUGUUGUUUUAAAAGAGCAAUAAAAAUGAAUUAUGACUAAACGCCUUCUAACUUAAUGCUUUCGGACGGGGAUCCCCGGCAAAUAACGUAAGAGGAUUUUUAUUUGUGCAUGUGUUCCUGCAAUUGAUCUCUUUGAUGACAUUCUCAUUCAUAGAAAGCGUUUGAUUUAUGAGCGUAGGACGAAUCGCAUCCUGGAGCUGCGCAGCCCUGGCCGCGGCCGGGACGCCCUGCUCCGCGCUGAGCUUGGGGCCAGAAACCAGCCAUAGUCCCCACACUCCGCCGCCGCAGCUGGGAUUUAGCGGAGGAAGGGGCGAGGGAAGGUAGGGAGCAAACCUAUGAAGAAACAUCGCGUUGUCAUUGGAACUUCCAAGCCUUUGCUGUUAAGAGCCAGGUUCUUAAAUCAACCCGCCCCACACACAUGUUGCUUACAUGCUGCGUUUUCUCACGGUCUGUUUUGCCUGAACCCAUCAACAGCUGGGAGAUUAAUCAACCACACUGAAAAUGUGGAGGGAUUUAUGGGGGAGGGGGUUGAAAUGUGGAUGUUUGAAACAAAAGUGUAUAAACAAAUGAAUUGUUGAUAACUUAGUUAUUGACCUGGAGACUGGUAGCUUAUUAAAGAAACUCCGUGUUACUCAUUCCUGGAGUUGGGGGUUUCUGUAGGCACUUUAUUUCUCCACUUUCAAGAGCUUGGGCUUGGCCCAAAUCUUAGACUGUCCAAUUCUGUCUCUAUUACCAAUUUAAAUCUAUGGCUUGAACCUGUGCACUGAAAAUCAAAUCCUUUAAAAAGAAAGAGGAGAAGAAGAAGCAA
Molecule: antisense RNA, 889 nt
Filed under: Pan troglodytes (chimpanzee)
Lineage: Eukaryota; Metazoa; Chordata; Mammalia; Primates; Hominidae
Rfam family: HOX antisense intergenic RNA myeloid 1 conserved region 2 (bases 62-276)
Source: RNAcentral